CAGCAGGCGCGAAACCUUUACACUGCACGCAAGUGCGAUAGGGGAAUCCCAAGUGCGAAGGCAUACUAGCCUUCGCUUUUGUUGACUGUAAGGAGGUCAACGAAUAAGAGCUGGGCAAGACCGGUGCCAGCCGCCGCGGUAAUACCGGCAGCUCGAGUGAUGUCCCCUAUUAUUGGGCCUAAAGCGUCCGUAGCUGGCCGCACAAGUCCGUCGGGAAAUCCACCUGCCCAACAGGUGGGCGUCCGGCGGAAACUGUGUGGCUUGGAACCGGAAGGCUCAGAGGGUACGUCCGGGGUAGGAGUGAAAUCCUGUAAUCCCGGACGGACCACCGAUGGCGAAAGCACUCUGAGAAGACGGAUUCGACAGUGAGGGACGAAAGCUAGGGUCUCGAACCGGAUUAGAUACCCGGGUAGUCCUAGCUGUAAACGAUGCUCGU
RNAcentral lists this ribosomal RNA (436 nucleotides) under uncultured haloarchaeon. RNAcentral's name for it is "bacterial SSU rRNA". It matches the Rfam family "Archaeal small subunit ribosomal RNA", at positions 333 to 767 of the family's 1478-position model. Lineage: Archaea; Methanobacteriati; Methanobacteriota; Halobacteria; Halobacteriales; Halobacteriaceae. The record is from RNAcentral.